Molecule: ribosomal RNA, 492 nt
Filed under: uncultured bacterium
Lineage: Bacteria
Description: partial 16S ribosomal RNA
Rfam family: Bacterial small subunit ribosomal RNA
Source: RNAcentral
AGUGAACGCUGGCGGUAGGCCUAACACAUGCAAGUCGAACGGCAGCACAGUAAGAGCUUGCUCUUACGGGUGGCGAGUGGCGGACGGGUGAGGAAUACAUCGGAAUCUACUUUUUCGUGGGGGAUAACGUAGGGAAACUUACGAUAAUACCGCAUACGACCUACGGGUGAAAGCAGUGGAUCUUCGGACCUUGCGCGAUUGAAUGAGCCGAUGUCGGAUUAGCUAGUUGGCGGGGUAAAAGCCCACCAAGGCGACGAUCCGUAGCUGGACUGAGAGGAUGAUAAGCCACCUUGGAACGGGGACACGGUCCAGACGCCUACGGGAGGCAGCAGUGGGGAAUAUUGGACAAUGGGCGCAAGCCUGAUCCAGCCAUACCGCGUGGGUGAAGAAGGCCUUCGGGUUGUAAAGCCCUUUUGUGGGGAAAGAAAAGCAGCAGGUUAAUACCCCGCGGUUCUGACGGUACCCAAAGAAUAAGCACCGGCUAACUUCGUG